GGCGCUAUAGCCAAGUGGUUACGGCGACAGAUUAGAACUGAACCAGUUCAUAGCUGAGUCGAACCAGAUCUGUUCCUCUUCGAGGGCGCAGGUUCGAAUCCUGCUGGCGUCG
Daedalea quercina L-15889 is the source of this 112-nucleotide transfer RNA. It matches the Rfam family "tRNA". From Rfam's summary of the family: Transfer RNA (tRNA) molecules are approximately 80 nucleotides in length. Their secondary structure includes four short double-helical elements and three loops (D, anti-codon, and T loops). The record is from Rfam. NCBI's taxonomy places the organism in Eukaryota, Fungi, Basidiomycota, Agaricomycetes, Polyporales, Fomitopsidaceae.